CGCGGCCUAUCAGCUUGUUGGUGAGGUAACGGCUCACCAAGGCAGCGACGGGUAGCUGGUCUGAGAGGACGAUCAGCCACACUGGGACUGAGACACGGCCCAGACUCCUACGGGAGGCAGCAGCAGGGAAUAUUGCACAAUGGGCGAAAGCCUGAUGCAGCGACGCCGCGUGAGGGAUGAAGGCCCUCGGGUUGUAACCCUCUUUCAGGAGGGACGAAGCGAAAGUGACGGUACCUCCAGAAGAAGCCCCGGCCAACUACGUGCCAGCAGCCGCGGUAAUACGUAGGGGGCGAACGUUGUCCGGAUUUAUUGGGCGUAAAGAGCUCGUAGGCGGCUCAGCAAGUCGGCCGUGAAAGCCUGAGGCUCAACCUCAGGAGGCCGGUCGAAACUGCUGUGGCUAGGGUCCGGUAGAGGAGAGUGGAAUUCCCGGUGUAGCGGUGAAAUGCGCAGAUAUCGGGAGGAACACCAGUAGCGAAGGCGGCUCUCUGGGCCGGUACCGACGCUGAGGAGCGAAAGCUAGGGGAGCAAACAGGAUUAGAUACCCUGGUAGUCCUAGCCGUAAACGUUGGGCACUAGGUGUGGCGGAUUCAUUGACAUCUGCCGUGCCGAAGCUAACGCAUUAAGUGCCCCGCCUGGGGAGUACGG
This 645-nucleotide ribosomal RNA is filed under the name uncultured Actinomycetes bacterium. RNAcentral describes it as "bacterial SSU rRNA". It matches the Rfam family "Bacterial small subunit ribosomal RNA", at positions 232 to 885 of the family's 1533-position model. The record is from RNAcentral. Lineage: Bacteria; Bacillati; Actinomycetota; Actinomycetes.